This 838-nucleotide non-coding RNA is filed under the name Pongo abelii (Sumatran orangutan). Lineage: Eukaryota; Metazoa; Chordata; Mammalia; Primates; Hominidae. The record is from RNAcentral.
UUACUUUUGGGUUUUGUCUACCUCCUGUGGUACCCGUUUAUAGCAGGGAAUUUCUUCCACUUGCAGACCAAGUGUGUUGGGGACUUGAGAUAUGUACAUGAGUGUUUGUGAUGUUUCCUGGUGAAAGCACAGGUGAGACGUGGUCUUGUAACACAGUGGUUAAGAAUGUGACUUUGGAGCCAGCCUGCUAGGGGCUGAAUUCUGACUCAGCCAUUUAUUAACUGUGUGACCUUAGGUAAGUCAUUUACCUUCUCUGUCCCUCAGUUUCAUCUUGGUAAAGUAGGGAUAAUGAUAGAACUUAUUUUAUAGGGUUAUUGUGAGGAAUAAAUCCAAGUAAAAUGCUUAGAAUAGUAACUGAAACAUAGCACUCAUUAAGUAUGCUUUAAUUUUCAUUUAUUUGAAUAUUAAAGGUUGAAUUUUCAGAUGUAUUUUGGACUUUUGUAUUUUUUCUUUAAAUCACUUAUUCAUGACUUUUGAACUUUUUUUUUUCUUUUAGAGACAGGGUCUUGGUUUGUUGUCUAGGCUGGAGUGCAGUGGUGCAAUCAUAGCUCACUGUAGCCUUGAACUCCUGGGCUCAAGAGAUCCUCCUGCCUCAGCCUCGUGAGUAGCUGGGCCUACAGGCGCCUGCUACCACACCUGGAUAAUUUUUUAUUUUUUGUAGAGAUGGGUUCUUGCAGCCCAGACUGGUCCUGAUCUUUGGCCUGAAGUGCUCCUCCUGCCUUGGCCUCUCAAAGCAUUGGGAUUACAGGUGUGAAGCACUGCACCUUGCCUGCACAUUUUUUCCAAUAAUUUUUUUUAUUAAUUUGUAAGAGUUAACAGGUCGACUAUCAUAUAUAAU